GCCCCAAAAGCAGCUGCAGCAAAGCCUAAACCUGCUGCAAAGGCUCCUGCCAAAUCUUUGCCGGAGUUGAUGUCGGAGGAUGUCAUCCCUUCAUUGAAAACAAUACUUGAAGCUCAAGAUGAUAUAUCUGAAAUUGAGCUCACUUUCCAAGACAACAAGGUUUGUUCUAAUCCAUCUUUUUCCCCAAGAUUUGGCAUUUUAAAUUUGCUCUAUAUGAUGAGAUAUAUGAAUGUUCCUCCCAUUCAAACUCGACAGUUGGAAGGUUCAUUCCUGAAGGAGGGCUGUCCCUACUCUUUCUGGGCCUUCUUCCCUGAUGGAGGCCUAACAGGUAUUGUAUACUUUGGGCAAAUUGGAAACUAUGUAUCAUUUCCAUUUCUGCAGUAAUUAUGUGACUAAUUUUCUCCCAUUUGCUUGCGUAGGUCCCAAAGGUUUUUCAUUGUCUUCAUAUGGCUCAGGAGCAAGCACAGUGGAGCCUUUCCUCGUUGAUGAGAAGAAAAUUACUGCAAGGCAUGUAGUUUUCUGGGUCGAAAAGCGUUUGGCCGCCCAAGGAAUUAUUCCUGUCUGGAAAGAAUGAUUUAUAGUAUAACAAGAAAUGCUGCC
Molecule: long non-coding RNA, 600 nt
Filed under: Gossypium barbadense (sea-island cotton)
Lineage: Eukaryota; Viridiplantae; Streptophyta; Magnoliopsida; Malvales; Malvaceae
Description: long non-coding RNA (GBAR_LNC010083)
Source: RNAcentral